Molecule: non-coding RNA, 585 nt
Organism: Pelobates cultripes (western spadefoot toad)
Lineage: Eukaryota; Metazoa; Chordata; Amphibia; Anura; Pelobatidae
Source: the annotation of a GenBank genome assembly
GGGGAUUAGAGUCCAUUACAACAUUAACCCUUUCAGCUUGGUGUCUAGAAGUGGGAUAGAUAGAAGUUGGAUCAGCAAAACCAUUGCGGUGAGUAGCCUUUUUGUGUCUUAUUUGACGCUGAUUGUCUAUGACCCCCGUUUGGUUCAGUAAGACUGUAUCCAGUAGAUAGGAAAGGUGUAAGGACUCUAGUUAUAUUGAGACUAUAAGAGGUCUCCGGUUUAUUAGACAUUUGGUCUAAAUAUAUAUAGGGUUUUGGUAACCCAGGUUAGUAUCUAAGAUAGAUACAGGUUUUUGAGACCAUAAGAGGUCUCCGGUUUAUUAUAGGGUUUUGGUAACCCAGGUUAGUAUCUAAGAUAGAUACAGGGUAUCUCAGGUAGAUACAGGUUUUUGAGACCAUAAGAGGUCUCCGGUUUAUUAAGUCUAUAGGUGUUCUGAGCAGCACGGUUUGUAGAUCUAUAAGUAUAACCCAAACUUCUCUUUCUCCCGGUCACCUUUGUUUGUCUUAAGUGUUCUUUGUGGGUGAUUGUUUGUCUAUAUUGGGGACACACUUUGGUAAGUUAGUAGUGUCCCCACUCUGAGUCAGC